This 4030-nucleotide long non-coding RNA is filed under the name Musa acuminata (dwarf banana). Its description in RNAcentral is "long non-coding RNA (MACU_LNC006687)". The record is from RNAcentral. Lineage: Eukaryota; Viridiplantae; Streptophyta; Magnoliopsida; Zingiberales; Musaceae.
UGGGCAUAAGAUGUGCAUUCUGCAGUCAGAACCGCUUAGACAUACUCGAAAAGAUGUCACGGAUUUAUUUGUAUCCAUACAAUAAUUCUUUGUGGAUGUUAAGAAGCUUGAAUAAAGUGAAUGGUUGUCACAAUAUUCUUAUAUCGACUUUGUUAUAAUGCAGCAUGGGUUUGGACCUUUCGAAAGGUACAACUCGGAACAAUCUUGAAGCUGGAGUUAUCGAGCCUGCAAUGAGCAAAGUGAAGAUCAUACAGGUAAAAAGUGUUUCUGACUUGACCAUGCUGCUGUAAUUGCUUGGAUUAUUAUGGUUAUCAUCAAAUCCGUACUUUUGAUUUGUGCCUCACUUUCUUUAUAGCAGCACAAUAACUAACAUGUGGGCAGCAAAUUUUGUUUAUUAUAUUACAUCUGCAAGAAAAUGACUUUGAAUAUCACCAAAUUUUGAUGUGCUGUUUAUUUGUGACCACAGUUUGCCACUGAGGCAGCUAUAACGAUUCUUCGGAUUGAUGAUAUGAUUAGGCUCAUCAAAGAUGAAAGGGAGAACGAAGAGGAUUAGAUCACUGGCAUCGUGUUCGAACACAAGUGAUUUGCUGGAUUUUCUUCUCUUAUAGGUUGCCAUUUGUGUUUCUAUUCUCCUACGAACAGGAAUUUGUAAACCGUGUGAGACAUUUAAAUCUGAUGACCACAUAUUGCUUGACCUUUCAUUAGAUUCCGUAGUUAGGGUUCUUUAUUCUCUCAAGUUUUUAAAGAUGUUUGGGUUACCAAGAAAGGCUAAUGAGAAAUUAGUGCUGAAUCUAUGCAUUUGCAUUGUAGGUUGUCGAGCUGGCAGAAACAUCGAUUUAGAGACCCAUGUAAUGUGCAGAUAUCUAAGAUUGUGUUGAGCCAUCUCAAAAUCAUCAGAAAGCAUGCCGUCUUGUGGGUAAAAUACCCAUCAGAGAACUAUAUGGUCUUACGGUGACUGAAUGGUACGUAAAAUUCGUGCAAUAGACUCAGAAGACUUCAUUUCGAAAAGAGAUCUAUUAGCAUCUUAACCUCGUCCAUGGUUCUGAUGAGCAAUGCCAUAUUUUUGUGUUGGGCGUGUUGUUUCCUAGAUGUCGACACAUUUAUUUAAUCCAGUCUCAUCCCUUAAUUUAGCAUAUUUCAUUAAGCUAUUCAUAUCUUUGCAGUUGAUCAUUUAAUUACGUAGGUCCAUUUUUUAUACCGAAGAUUCAAAGUGCAUAACCAUUAGAGUACUUACAAUAUUAUUAGUCACAUCAUAUUUAUCCAAACUGUUACAUUCUUUGUUCCAUCAGAAAUUCUCAUUCUUGAGUUGUAUGACUAACAUUCUCUAUAUAAGCAAAAAAUGAACUGAAGAACAAUAAUAACAACAUCAACAAUAAUAAUGAUUUCUAAGGUACACUAAUAAUAAUGUUCUGCUGUACAGUGAUAAGGUUACAAAAUAUGAAAGAAUUUUUUGUGUGAUGCAACUAAAAUACAGUAUAUAGAUGUUGUAUUAAUGACAAUGUAUCUCCAAGGCUGAUAGCAGGUGGAGGAUUCUACCUCAAUUCACCACCAAAAAAAGCUUUGCCAACUGGUGUACUUUAAAUCAUGGUCUGCAGUACCGGACCGUACCACCCGAUAUGGGCGGUACAUACCGGUCCGACCGGCUUCCGGUACGCAGACCAUCUGUUACCGGUCCGACACUGUAGUAGCACUGUAGUAGUGCUACAGUGAUACGGUAUUGCGGACCUUGCUUUAAAUACCGCUCUCCUGCCCACCUUAGAGUUCUCUUUUGAGACUUCAUAAGCCUCUGAUGCCCUACAGAAUGAUGAUCAAGUUGCUUUUCAGUGGAUAAUAAGGUAUCAUUAAGGAGUUCGUUAAAAGAUACACAACUGCAUUACACAUUGGUAGAUAAUACCAUUUCAAUUCUGUAAUUUAACACUAAAUUUUAAGGUUUUUAAGUAUUGAGUUUGUCAGCAUAUUAAAACAACAAUGGUCAAAUAAUACGUCGAUGCAUAUUGAAUUUGGACACAUAACCACCAUUUGUGUCAUCAAAGUGAGAAAGCAGUGGGUAGUGGAUAGGUUCUUGACAGAAAAAUUACAACCAUUGCUUUAUCUACCCUCCUUCCAUCAGAAAAUGGGGGGAAAAAAUGAAAUCUAAAGAACUUGGGAUGAAUCAAGAUAAGGGAAAUGAUAAGACAGGAGUUCAGCAGCAAGAAAAAACAAAAGAGAAAAUUAGGAUGAAGCAACAAACACAAAACAGAAAUAGGAAAAGCAAGAAAGUAAUCUGAAGUAAUGGUGAUCGGUUCAAAAGGUAAUACAUGAAAGACAGUACUGAAAUCAUAACUUCAGCUAACAUGAGGUCCAAUAAAUUAAAGUCAUGGUUUGGGAGCCCACUGUCGCUUAUAAGGUGCCAAGGUUUCUUCACAACAGAUACUUGACAUGGAUCCUCAAUUGAUGAAGAAGCAUGAGCAUGGCAAUCCUCCUCUAGUAAUAUAAUCGGUUAGUAAAUAAGAAAUAAUAUUAAACUGAAUUCCAGAUAACAGUGUCCAAAGAAAGAACCUUCUAACGAAAACUCUCAUAGUUUCUUUAAAAGCCCUUCUAAAUUAAAGAAAAAGCUCUCAUAUUUUCUUCCUUCGACAACCAUGUCUUCUAUUCUUUUACCUUAUCAUUUACCAUGUACCCAGCCCACUUAAGAGGACGAACAAACCGAGCUGCAAAACGACAGGCAUCGCCAGCAGCAGAUCAACAAUCCACAAGUUUUAGCUAUCAAAAUAUCCAAAAGAACUUACUUUAGAAUGUCUGUAAACGCACCAUAAGAAAACCAUAACUCAGUUUCCAGGUCCGGUUGUGAACACCGAUGUACUGUAGGUGAGCCUACUACCUUUCACACAAGGACAGCCAUUACCGCCGAAAUGUGUGAAUGGCUAACAAAUCACCAGCUUACUUUCCUUUAGCUGCCAAUGUGAUGUGCCCUUAGAACAACCUCUCCCAAUCCAAAUACAUAAACAUCUUUAAGCCCCAUACUCUUUUCCUCAGCCAACUAUAAUAACUAAAGGCAUCCUAAAGUCGUACAGAAACUAACUAGGCAUCAAAUUAAACAUAGAAUGUCACCCUUGGCUAAUUGACUAUCAUAUGUUCCAGGGUACAAAAGGAGCUAAGCAAAUGCAAACAUCAAAGUAGAGUAGCUAAAAUGAUAUCAUUCAUUGAAGAAGAACAACAGCCACUAUAAAAGAAUUUACUGUUCCCAUUGUAUAAUUACUGGAGACAUCAAACUUCAAAUUUGUUUCCAUUUUUUUCUUAGGGAACUGUUCUUCAAUUUUCCAAUGUUAGUGAAUGCGUCUGAAAAGAAACCGCAAUCAAAAGUUACCUCAAAGGACGCAAACACAUAGUUACUAUCGGUGUGCUUACUGACCAUUCACACAAAGAUUACAGCCAUUACAGCUGCGAGGGUGUGACUGGCUAAUUGGCCACCGGCAUAAACUCUCUCAUAGCUCCGAUUUCGGAAGAGACCUUUAUCGAAAUAGCAAUGAAGUGAUAGCAUGAAGCUAAUACCUCGCUCCUCCCAUUGGAAGCCACCUUAUCCAAACGCUGUCGCAAAGCCCAAGUCUUCAGCCGCACUGCAUAACAACAGAGAAGGAAAGAAGUCAAGCAUUUCGCCUACCUCGUCUUGCUCAAGGUUCGCAGAUCCAGUUUCGCCAUCUCGGAACCCUAAGUGGCGAAAGACCAUGAUGACGGGGAUUGAUCGCCUGAAGGAACUCCUCGACGGUGGUGGCGGCGAGGAAGAUCGAAGGCCUCGUCUCCAUGUCGAAGGGAAAUUGGCCGGCGAAGGUCGAGAAGAGAGAUAGGGUUUCAAGCAUUCAUCGAGAGAUUCGAACCGUUGGAUGCUUCAGUCAGUAGACGUGUUGUCCAUCGGACGGGUGCUUAUGCGACGGAUAGAGGUCCGCAUACAACCGUUGUGCGGUCCCAUUCCCCCAAAUGGUCGACGGAUAAACCCUACGCCAGAUUAAAAUCAGAUGUGGUAGUCGAUAGAGGUCCGCUCUCUCCGCUGCCC